GACGAACGCUGGCGGUGUGCUUCACACAUGCAAGUCGAACGAGGUAGCAAUACCUAGUGGCGGACGGGUGAGUAACGCGUGGGAAUCUGCCCAAGGGUGGGGAUAACUAGCCGAAAGGUUAGCUAAUACCGCAUAUGCCGUGAGGUAAAAGGAGUAAUCCGCCCCUGGAUGAGCCUGCGGGCCAUUAGCUUGUUGGUGAGGUAACGGCUCACCAAGGCUGUGAUGGCUAGCUGGUCUGAGAGGAUGACCAGCCACACUGGGACUGAGACACGGCCCAGACUCCUACGGGAGGCAGCAGUGGGGAAUAUUGCGCAAUGGGCGAAAGCCUGACGCAGCGACGCCGCGUGGGUGAUGAAGGCCUUC
Molecule: ribosomal RNA, 363 nt
Filed under: uncultured bacterium
Lineage: Bacteria
Description: bacterial SSU rRNA
Rfam family: Bacterial small subunit ribosomal RNA
Source: RNAcentral